Molecule: ribosomal RNA, 437 nt
Filed under: uncultured Oscillospiraceae bacterium
Lineage: Bacteria; Bacillati; Bacillota; Clostridia; Eubacteriales; Oscillospiraceae
Description: bacterial SSU rRNA
Rfam family: Bacterial small subunit ribosomal RNA
Source: RNAcentral
ACGGGAGGCAGCAGUGGGGAAUAUUGGGCAAUGGGCGAAAGCCUGACCCAGCGACGCCGCGUGAAGGAAGAAGAUCCUCGGGUUGUAAACUUCAGUCAACAGGGAAGAAGAAAAUGACGGUACCUGUGGAGGAAGCCACGGCUAACUACGUGCCAGCAGCCGCGGUAAUACGUAGGUGGCGAGCGUUAUCCGGAUUUACUGGGUGUAAAGGGCGUGUAGGCGGGAAUGCAAGUCAGAUGUGAAAAUUAUGGGCUCAACUCAUAACCUGCAUUUGAAACUGUAUUUCUUGAGAGUCGGAGAGGUAAACGGAAUUCCCGGUGUAGCAGUGAAAUGCGUAGAUAUCGGGAGGAACACCAGUGGCGAAGGCGGUUUACUGGACGACAACUGACGCUGAGACACGAAAGCGUGGGGAGCAAACAGGAUUAGAUACCCUGGUA